AACAACCGAGUGAAGCAGUGAUCAACUCACUAUACGGUGAUUGACUCAGUGACUUGAAUAGUUGAAUACUUCCCGUGACGGCGAAGUCACGACGACGUUCACGCCCCGACUCCACGUCACGACCGCAUACACUCCCGUCACGCCACCGCCUUUGUAAAAGGAGCGACAAAGAAGACGCCGUUUAGCUGCCCGCAACAGAUGAGUGCAAACUACAAACUACAAAGGCACCGACACGUCGACGUUUUACAUGGGUAGAAUCGUAAAUAAGAAUAAAGGAAUAUUAUAACGGAAAUUUUUAAUUAGUUUAAUUAAUUAAAUAAGAAUUUGGCGAAACCGAAAUCUCUGCUUUUUUUAAUCUCUUGCCUUGGCUUCUAAAUGCUUCAUUGAUUGUCUUCGCCUUGUUCAUUCUGUUUGUUUCCCACAAUGACCAUGCAUUGAGAUUUUCCCUGUCUGGUUUUCUCGGGAAUCAAACAGAAGACAGACGUUUUUCUCUUCUAUUUAUUAGGGUUUUUGUUGUUAUAAGAUGACAUAUUACGGUGACGACACAGUGGUGCCACAGCUCGGGAUGAGAGUGGAGGCUCAUAGUGAUGAUGGAGGUGACAGCAAAGGGGAGUUUGUGAAAUUGAGAGAUUGUGAGGUGGAGGAAUGUGGGCAUAUUGCGGCAACAGAAGGGUCUAGUUUCUGUCUCUGGAGAUGGAGAGGGUCUGUUGUAUGGUAUUGGGUCAAGUUGGCUUUGUUGUUUACUUGUUUGGGAUUAUUGGCUGCUGUUUUCCUCAAAUGGGUUGGUCCAUUUUUCAUGGACAAGGAGCUCAUCCCUAUCAUUAAUUGGGAGACAACAACUUUUAGCACUCCAGUUCUGGCAAUUCUGGUCUUUGCUUCCGUGGCAUUGUUUCCCACCCUACUUUUGCCAUCUACUCCUUCUAUGUGGGUAGCUGGGAUGACAUUUGGUUAUGGCUUUGGAUUUCUAUUAAUUAUAUCUGCAGCAGCCGUGGGUGUAUCACUUCCAUAUUUCAUUGGCUCACUGUUCCUUCAUAAAAUUCAAGGGUGGUUAGAAAAAUAUCCAAAGAAAGCUGCCAUUCUGAGAGCAGCUGGCGAAGGAAACUGGUUUCAUCAGUUUCGAGCUGUAACAUUAAUCAGGAUUUCUCCAUUUCCAUAUAUUUUAUAUAAUUAUUGUGCUGUUGCCUCAAAUGUUAAGUAUGGUCCUUACAUCUUAGGAUCAUUGGUAGGAAUGGUGCCAGAGAUUUUUGUUGCAAUCUACACGUAAGAGCUCUGACUCUAUCAAAUGCGUUUUUUGCAAAGAAACUUAUAUGCAUGUGUUUCAAUGUAUGCCUAAAGCAUAGGAUUCUACCAUAAUAUGUCUGUAGCUCUUCAAUAUGUUGCAUGUUAACUUUCUAGGUGUGUUGUUACAUUUAUUGACUGUCACUUUUUUUUUGAAAAAAAAAAUUGUAAGUUCCUUUUGGGAGAUGGGGAGGAGUGGAUGGGUAUAUUUUUGGGUGGUUAUGAUUUACUUAAACUUGCAGUUACAUUGCCUGAGUUUGGGUUGAGAAUCACUCAUUGGGGACGCAUUAAUGAUUUUAACAACUGUAUUAUUUUUGCAUAAAAGAGCAUGUGUUGUGUGAAUAGGUUUUCCUUGUCAUAUGAAUUCAUUUAAAUGCCUAUUGAAAUUUUGUUGUAUAUUAUCUUGUUUGGCGUAACCCUCUGCCAUCACCUAAUUAAAACACCAUAGGAAAAUGACUUUAUAGAUAGUUAGUUAGUUGCCAAGACUAGAUCUGAAAUUUUAACCUCUCAACAAUUGGGUAACUUCAGGUAGAGACUUCAGAGGUAUAUCAGAAGAGUGGAUUGGGGAAGACUGUACCCUAAUAUCACUUGAAAACCAGUGUUAUAAAGGGGAGAGGUGACACUAAGGCAACAAAAUACCCUAUGGCUUUAGGCAAUAAGUGAGGCAAGGGACUUUUUGAAGUGAGGCACCAUAGCUUACACACACACACACACACACGCUUUUAACAUAAAAAUAUCGUACUUUUAACUAGUUUAAUAAGUA
This 2041-nucleotide unclassified non-coding RNA is filed under the name Hevea brasiliensis (rubber tree). Lineage: Eukaryota; Viridiplantae; Streptophyta; Magnoliopsida; Malpighiales; Euphorbiaceae. The record is from RNAcentral.